Molecule: ribosomal RNA, 460 nt
Filed under: uncultured bacterium
Lineage: Bacteria
Description: partial 16S ribosomal RNA
Rfam family: Bacterial small subunit ribosomal RNA
Source: RNAcentral
CCUACGGGUGGCAGCAGUGAGGAAUAUUGGUCAAUGGACGCAAGUCUGAACCAGCCAUGCCGCGUGCAGGAAGACGGCUCUAUGAGUUGUAAACUUCUUUUGUACGAGGGUAAAUUCCGAUAUGUGUAUUGGUUUGCAAGUAUCUUAUGAAUAAGGAUCGGCUAACUCCGUGCCAGCAGCCGCGGUAAUACGGAGGAUUCAAGCGUUAUCCGGAUUUAUUGGGUUUAAAGGGUGCGUAGGCGGUUCGAUAAGUUAGAGGUGAAAUCGCGGGGCUCAACUGCGGCAGUGCCUCUGAUACUGUCGGGCUAGAGUAUAGUAGAGGUAGGCGGAAUGUAUGGUGUAGCGGUGAAAUGCAUAGAGAUCAUACAGAACACCGAUUGCGAAGGCAGCUUACCGAACUACAACUGACGUUGAGGCACGAAAGCGUGGGGAGCAAACAGGAUUAGAUACCCGUGUAGUC